AUAUGUGGUGAUAUCCAUGGGCGAUACUAUGAUUUGCUUCGACUUUUUGAGUACGGUGGUUUCCCGCCAGAAAGCAACUACCUGUUUCUUGGGGACUACGUGGACGGGGGAAGCAGUCAUUAGAGACUAUCUGCCUCUUACUGGCCUACAAAAUCAAAUAUCCUGAGAAUUUUUUUCUUCUCAGAGGGGAACCAUGAAUGUGCCAGCAUCAAUAGGAUUUAUGGAUUUUAUGAUGAAUGUAAAAGAAGAUACAACAUUAAACUAUGGAAAACUUUCACAGACUGUUUCAACUGCUUGCCGAUAGCAGCCAUCGUGGAUGAAAAAAUAUUCUGCUGUCAUGGAGGUUUAUCACCAGAUCUUCAAUCUAUGGAGCAGAUCCGGCGAAUUAUGCGACCAACUGAUGUGCCAGAUCAAGGUCUUCUUUGUGAUCUUUUGUGGUCUGACCCCGAUAAAGAUGUCUUAGGCUGCGGUGAAAAUGACAGAGGAGUGUCCUUCACAUUUGGUGCAGAAGUGGUUGCAAAAUUUUUACAAGAGAAUGAAAUCAGAGGACUGUGCUUAAAGUCUC
This is an RNA transcript of Galeopterus variegatus (Sunda flying lemur), 565 nucleotides long. It is a transcript of the gene named serine/threonine-protein phosphatase PP1-gamma catalytic subunit B-like, with no coding region annotated. NCBI's taxonomy places the organism in Eukaryota, Metazoa, Chordata, Mammalia, Dermoptera, Cynocephalidae. The record is from RefSeq and is a predicted model, not a curated record. The transcript has 2 exons.